RNAcentral lists this ribosomal RNA (496 nucleotides) under uncultured bacterium. Its description in RNAcentral is "partial 16S ribosomal RNA". It matches the Rfam family "Bacterial small subunit ribosomal RNA", at positions 28 to 506 of the family's 1533-position model. The record is from RNAcentral.
GAUGAACGCUGGCGGCGUGCCUAAUACAUGCAAGUCGAGCGAACAGACGAGGAGCUUGCUCCUCUGACGUUAGCGGCGGACGGGUGAGUAACACGUGGAUAACCUACCUAUAAGACUGGGAUAACUUCGGGAAACCGGAGCUAAUACCGGAUAAUAUAUUGAACCGCAUGGUUCAAUAGUGAAAGACGGUUUUGCUGUCACUUAUAGAUGGAUCCGCGCCGCAUUAGCUAGUUGGUAAGGUAACGGCUUACCAAGGCGACGAUGCGUAGCCGACCUGAGAGGGUGAUCGGCCACACUGGAACUGAGACACGGUCCAGACUCCUACGGGAGGCAGCAGUAGGGAAUCUUCCGCAGUGGGCGAAAGCCUGACGGAGCAACGCCGCGUGAGUGAUCAAGGUCUUCGGAUCGUAAAACUCUGUUAUUAGGGAAGAACAAAUGUGUAAGUAACUAUGCACGUCUUGACGGUACCUAAUCAGAAAGCCACGGCUAACUACGU